CGUGGACUUGUCUGCCUGUUUUGCUCAGCUUUCUCUGCGUGGCUGAGCUGGGAGCAGCUCCCCGUCCUGCUCCGCUGCGCCGUCCCCCAUGGCAAGGGUCUGCCGCCAUGGUAUGGGCCAUUCCACCCUUCAUGGCCACCUGGGCUAUUUCCACUUUUGCCUAUUCUGAGAGGCUGCUGUGAAUUCCUGCAAGGGUUUUUCUGGGUGCUUUUGUUUCGGGUAAACACCUGUGAGUGCAAGGGCUAGGUCCCAAGGCAGACAUAGGUUUUACCGUUUUAAGGAACUGCCAGACAGAUUUCCAAGUGACUGUGCCUCUGCAUUCCUGCCAGCAGCGGACGAGAGUUCUGGCGCUCUGUCCUCAUCCUUGCCAGCGGUGUUUAUGACACCUGUUCAGCUGAUAUUUUUGGUACCAACCUGUGUGCCCUCACCAUUCACCCGGUGGUGACCAGCAGCAAACACCUGUCACUUCCUGGGCUUGGAGACUUCCUCAGACCACUGCAGCUGCUCUUCCCAUGCACCGGCAGGCUGUUCACACAGUCCCUGGCUAGAAGCAUCCUGCAAUCAAUCUCUGCCAAGAUGGGUGGAUAAAUACUUUGGCUCCCUCACCUCCCGGCUGGAAUAAACUUGAUCUCAGGGUUAUUAAUUGUGCGCUCUUCACUGGCUCCCAAAGUUCCCAAGAAAAGCUGAGCCCACAGGGAUAACUUACCUGCUAAGGUGCCCUGUGUUGCUGUCUGCCAUCCCC
RNAcentral lists this long non-coding RNA (742 nucleotides) under Pan troglodytes (chimpanzee). RNAcentral's name for it is "long non-coding RNA NONPTRT009008". Lineage: Eukaryota; Metazoa; Chordata; Mammalia; Primates; Hominidae. The record is from RNAcentral.